GAGUGCGUCCUGGCGAGUCUCAGCCCCCAAGCGGGUGGAACGCACCAAGGGUCUCAUCCGCGACGAAGGGCUUUAACGCUCAGGGUCAGCAACCUCUGAGAGCUCUUGGGGACUUGCGCGCCCUUGGAUGCUCUUGCGUUCAACAGGGCUAGGAGACUACCGGCUGGGGCGAGGAAUGCAGGCGCCUAGAGCCUUGGAGCUCCUGAAACGUUCCUGCCGCCUCCGGAAAGCAAGGGCAGUUUACCGAAGUGACUGAGGCCAAGUAUUUGCAGCACGGGCAGGGACCAGUAACUGAUUUUCAGGCCUUUUGAGAGGAAGAGGAAGAGAGAGGAAGAGAAGGAUUUCUAAUAGUAGAUAUUCACUGUCAUGGACUCUUUAGGAAACAGCAACAAAGACAAGAUUAAGAACACCAAAUUGUGUGACUAUCCACACAAAAAAGCAUCUUCAUAAGAACCAAAAAUCAGGUAAGCCAUCACAGUACGCUAUUUUAGUUUUAUAUCACUGAAAGGGACACCUAAGAAGGUAGAAAAGACAGUCUUGAAUUGCUGAUGCAACUCCUCCCCCAUCACCCCAACACUCCAGCAGCAGUGGACGCAUGGCGUGGAGUGAGAAUCUGUGUGCUUCGACACACCCUGGGACAGAAGAGACCCCACUACCUUGAAGCGAAGGACCCAGUCAUGGAAAGAACCUUUGGGCCCUGAAUGA
RNAcentral lists this small RNA (705 nucleotides) under Pan troglodytes (chimpanzee). Its description in RNAcentral is "processed transcript". Lineage: Eukaryota; Metazoa; Chordata; Mammalia; Primates; Hominidae. The record is from RNAcentral.